UACAGAGGGUGCGAGCGUUAAUCGGAAUUACUGGGCGUAAAGCGUGCGUAGACGGUUAUUUAAGUCGGGUGUGAAAGCCCCGGGCUCAACCUGGGAAUUGCAUUCGAGACUGAAUAGCUAGGGUACGGUAGAGGGAAGUGGAAUUUCCGGUGUAGCGGUGAAAUGCGUAGAGAUCGGGAGGAACACCCGUGGCGAAGGCGGCCAACUGGGCCGGACCUGACGCUGAGGCGCGAAGGCGUGGGGAGCGAACGGG
RNAcentral lists this ribosomal RNA (253 nucleotides) under uncultured bacterium. RNAcentral describes it as "partial 16S ribosomal RNA". It matches the Rfam family "Bacterial small subunit ribosomal RNA", at positions 524 to 776 of the family's 1533-position model. The record is from RNAcentral.